Long non-coding RNA from Bufo bufo (common toad), 195 nucleotides. RefSeq lists it as uncharacterized. The record is from RefSeq and is a predicted model, not a curated record. The transcript has 3 exons. NCBI's taxonomy places the organism in Eukaryota, Metazoa, Chordata, Amphibia, Anura, Bufonidae.
GGGCAGGACAUGAUUCAGAGAACCCACCCACCCAUAUAGGGUGGGGAAUGAGAUGGUGGUCGAAACACUGAAGAAAGGAAGAGCUCAAGUUGAUUUCGUAUACGGCCCACCUACUACCGUCGUUGCAGUAACCAGAACAGCUGUGCUGACUGAACAAUCUCCAAUUUGAAUCCACGCCACCCGAGUGAAGCUUGU